RNAcentral lists this ribosomal RNA (253 nucleotides) under uncultured bacterium. RNAcentral's name for it is "partial 16S ribosomal RNA". It matches the Rfam family "Bacterial small subunit ribosomal RNA", at positions 524 to 776 of the family's 1533-position model. The record is from RNAcentral.
UACGUAGGGACCAAGCGUUGUCCGGAUUUAUUGGGCGUAAAGAGCUCGUAGGCGGCCCUCCACGUCGGAUGUGAAAGCUCAGGGCUCAACCCUGAGAUGCCAUUCGAUACGGGAAGGCUAGAGGUAGGUAGGGGAAAGUGGAAUUCCUGGUGUAGCGGUGAAAUGCGCAGAUAUCAGGAGGAACACCGGUGGCGAAGGCGGUUCUUUGGGCAUGUCCUGACGCUGAGGAGCGAAAGUGUGGGGAGCGAACAGG